UGCAGAUGGAAGAUGAUACGGAUCUU
RNAcentral lists this non-coding RNA (26 nucleotides) under Homo sapiens (human). Lineage: Eukaryota; Metazoa; Chordata; Mammalia; Primates; Hominidae. The record is from RNAcentral.